GUGGGGAAUUUUGGACAAUGGGCGCAAGCCUGAUCCAGCAAUGCCGCGUGCAGGAAGAAGGCCUUCGGGUUGUAAACUGCUUUUGUACGGAACGAAACGGUCCGGGUUAAUACCCUGGGCUAAUGACGGUACCGUAAGAAUAAGCACCGGCUAACUACGUGCCAGCAGCCGCGGUAAUACGUAGGGUGCAAGCGCUAAUCGGAAUUACUGGGCGUAAAGCGUGCGCAGGCGGUUUUGUAAGACAGGCGUGAAAUCCCCGGGCUCAACCUGGGAAUUGCGCUUGUGACUGCAAGGCUGGAGUGCGGCAGAGGGGGAUGGAAUUCCGCGUGUAGCAGUGAAAUGCGUAGAUAUGCGGAGGAACACCGAUGGCGAAGGCAAUCCCCUGGGCCUGCACUGACGCUCAUGCACGAAAGCGUGGGGAUCAAACAGGAUUAGAUACCCUAGUAGUCC
Molecule: ribosomal RNA, 450 nt
Filed under: uncultured bacterium
Lineage: Bacteria
Description: partial 16S ribosomal RNA
Rfam family: Bacterial small subunit ribosomal RNA
Source: RNAcentral